This is a long non-coding RNA of Callorhinchus milii (elephant shark), 256 nucleotides long. RefSeq lists it as uncharacterized. The transcript has 3 exons. The record is from RefSeq and is a predicted model, not a curated record. Lineage: Eukaryota; Metazoa; Chordata; Chondrichthyes; Chimaeriformes; Callorhinchidae.
GGUGCAGGCCGGAGCCCACCGAGCGGAGAGGAGCCGAUUGGAGGGUGGGCAGCGGAGUGAACCAACGCCCCGACUUACUUACCCGCGCUCCCCGUUUCAUCGGAUUGCCCAGCUCGCAGGUGGCCUCGGAGCCGUUCUGAUUGGCCACGCAAACCACCUGCUGUUCCUGCGGAGGAGAGAGGAGAGAAGAUCACAAGCGGCUCCUGCGAAGCGCUUUGGGACGUCCCCGUUUGGGUGGGGGACCGGUACCUGAGGA